CACGUAGGGCGCAAGCGUUGUCCGGAAUUAUUGGGCGUAAAGAGCUCGUAGGCGGUCUGUUGCGUCCGCUGUGAAAACCCGGGGCUUAACCCCUGGCUUGCAGUGGAUACGGACAGACUAGAGGUAGGUAGGGGAGAAUGGAAUUCCCGGUGUAGCGGUGAAAUGCGCAGAUAUCGGGAGGAACACCGGUGGCGAAGGCGGGAUCCUGGGCCAGUACUGACGCUGAGGAGCGAAAGCGUGGGGAGCAAACAGG
RNAcentral lists this ribosomal RNA (253 nucleotides) under uncultured bacterium. RNAcentral describes it as "partial 16S ribosomal RNA". It matches the Rfam family "Bacterial small subunit ribosomal RNA", at positions 524 to 776 of the family's 1533-position model. The record is from RNAcentral.